This 76-nucleotide transfer RNA is filed under the name Clostridiales bacterium. RNAcentral's name for it is "tRNA-Val". It matches the Rfam family "tRNA". Rfam says of the family: Transfer RNA (tRNA) molecules are approximately 80 nucleotides in length. Their secondary structure includes four short double-helical elements and three loops (D, anti-codon, and T loops). The record is from RNAcentral. Lineage: Bacteria; Bacillati; Bacillota; Clostridia; Eubacteriales.
GGGCGCUUAGCUCAGCUGGGAGAGCAUCUGCCUUACAAGCAGGAGGUCACAGGUUCGAUCCCUGUAGCGCCCACCA